Molecule: ribosomal RNA, 439 nt
Filed under: Janibacter melonis
Lineage: Bacteria; Bacillati; Actinomycetota; Actinomycetes; Micrococcales; Intrasporangiaceae
Description: bacterial SSU rRNA
Rfam family: Bacterial small subunit ribosomal RNA
Source: RNAcentral
AACUUUGGAGCUUGCUCUAAGGGGAUCAGUGGCGAACGGGUGAGUAACACGUGAGUAACCUGCCCCGGACUCUGGAAUAAGCGCUGGAAACGGCGUCUAAUACCGGAUACGAGACGCAACCGCAUGGUUAGCGUCUGGAAAGUUUUUCGGUCUGGGAUGGACUCGCGGCCUAUCAGCUUGUUGGUGAGGUAAUGGCUCACCAAGGCGACGACGGGUAGCCGGCCUGAGAGGGCGACCGGCCACACUGGGACUGAGACACGGCCCAGACUCCUACGGGAGGCAGCAGUGGGGAAUAUUGCACAAUGGGCGAAAGCCUGAUGCAGCGACGCCGCGUGAGGGAUGACGGCCUUCGGGUUGUAAACCUCUUUCAGCAGGGAAGAAGCGAAAGUGACGGUACCUGCAGAAGAAGCACCGGCUAACUACGUGCCAGCAGCCGCGG